This 1925-nucleotide long non-coding RNA is filed under the name Marmota monax (woodchuck). The record is from RNAcentral. Lineage: Eukaryota; Metazoa; Chordata; Mammalia; Rodentia; Sciuridae.
UUUCAAUCCAGUCUGUAUGGUCUUACAAUGUCUGUACUCUAUACCAUUCUAGGAUGGCAAAUCGAAUUAUUUACAAGUGACAACUCGAGUACAUGGCACUGCUAGCCUGGAGACCUGUAUUGAAAAGGAUUCUGAGACAAAAGUUGUAUCUGAGACAAUAGGACUUUAUGCCAUCAUCACUUAUCAGCAUCGUCCACAGACAUAGGGUGGAAAAGUGGUGAAACCAGGUCCAAAUCUCUGUCUAUACCAUUCACCUUCUAAAUAUAUGCCGCAAAAGUACAUAUGGCUAAAUGCUUUGUACAUUUAAUGGUACUCUACAAUUAGUUUUCUUAAUUUUUUCUAUUAUUCAAAUAUUUUUCCAACUCCUUAAACAACUAACAACUGAAACGAAUAAGAUUUGUAUGUCAUUCAAAAGUAAGCACAACAAUGGAAACUAAUCUAUAAUGAAUUUUUCUGAGAAAAAAAAUCUUUCUAAAAUGCAAAUCUGAUGAUUACCAGACCUCUUCAUUGAGACCAUCCCCCCACAUCUUUAUUUAUUUUUAGAUGUAGAUAGACACAAUACCUUUAUUUUAUUUGUUUAUUUUUAUGUGGUACCAGGGAUUGAACCCAGUACCCCAUGCUGUUCCCUCACGUGUUAAUCCAUUUGGGCUGCUAUAACAAAAUAUCAUAAACUAGUUGUUUGUUUGUUUAUUUAUUUUUGGUGCUGGGGAUUGAACCCAGGGCCUGUGCAUACAAGGCAAGCACUCUACCAACUGAGCUAUAUCCCAGCCCUAAGCUAGCAGUUUAUAAACAACAGAAAUUUAUGACUCACAGUUUGGAAGCUGGGAUGUCUAAGAUAUAGGCUCUGGAAGAUUUAGUGUCAGGUGAGGGCUCACUUCCUGGUUCCUAGAUGGUUGCCUUUUUUGCUAAAAUUUCAUAUGGAGAAAGGUGCACAGGAUCUCUCUGAGGUGAUGGGUUUUUGUUUGUUUGUUUGUGUUUUUGUUUUUGGUACUGGAGAUUGAACCCAGGGCCUGGCACAUGUUAGGCAAGUGCUCUAUUCCCUGAGCUAUACGCCCAGCCCUUCUGAGGUCUUUUUUUUUUUUUUUUUUUUAGGGAUACUAAAAUCACCUAUGAGGGCUUGCCCCUCAAGACCUAAUCACCUCCUAAAGAUCCUACAUCCUAAUGCGAGACUCGUGGGUUUGAGGAUCUCAACAAAUGAAUUUUGGCAGAAUGUAAGCAUUGCAGCUCAUUGCAUACCCUGCUUUCCCCACCCGCCCAAAGCUUUCAAUCAUUUCAGUGGCUUCUUAUGGUCCUAUGUUCUUAGAAUUACCUGGGUAUGCUAUUUACAAACUCCUGUAUGAACUGGCUUACUUAACUCUCUGGUUUCACUCUUAUUUUCCCCCUUUCAUCAUGAUCUAUUUCCCUACCUACCUCCCCUAGCCUUUGUCCUCCAUUCCAGAAGCGAUAUUAAAUUUCCCUCAGAUUUCCCAUCUCAUGCUUUGCCAUUGCAGUUCUUAGCCAAGCUGUCACUUGACGAGUACAGAAGCCUUCUCACUGCUGUCCUGAGAUACGCAGUCUGAGAUAAUUACUAUCCAAUGUGUAUUAUCUCACUGCAUGAAUAUAUUCAUGUACUGUCUUGGCCUAUUUUCUGUUGUUAUAACAAAAUACCGGAGGUGCAAAGAAAGAAAGUUGGUUUAGCAUAUAGUUUUGGAGGUUGAGAAUCCAAUAUUGGGCAGACCCUAUCUUGUGAGGUUCCCUUGGCUUCAUCAUAACAUGUUAGAGAAAUGGAAAGGGAACUGGCAUGUGCAGAAUAGGCCAACAGCAUGGUUUUAGCAACCUGCUCUCAAAGAACUCACUUAAAGACCAGCAUUAAUCCCUCCGAGGGCAGUGCCUCCCCUGAUGUAAUUGCCUUGCUCUGGGCCCUGCCUUUUAAAGUUGCUUCCAUG